RNAcentral lists this ribosomal RNA (253 nucleotides) under uncultured bacterium. RNAcentral describes it as "partial 16S ribosomal RNA". It matches the Rfam family "Bacterial small subunit ribosomal RNA", at positions 524 to 776 of the family's 1533-position model. The record is from RNAcentral.
UACGAAGGGGGCUAGCGUUGCUCGGAAUCACUGGGCGUAAAGGGCGCGUAGUCGGCGUUUUAAGUCGGGGGUGAAAGCCUGUGGCUCAACCACAGAAUGGCCUUCGAUACUGGGACGCUUGAGUAUGGUAGAGGUUGGUGGAACUGCGAGUGUAGAGGUGAAAUUCGUAGAUAUUCGCAAGAACACCGGUGGCGAAGGCGGCCAACUGGACCAUUACUGACGCUGAGGCGCGAAAGCGUGGGGAGCAAACAGG